Molecule: ribosomal RNA, 253 nt
Filed under: uncultured bacterium
Lineage: Bacteria
Description: partial 16S ribosomal RNA
Rfam family: Bacterial small subunit ribosomal RNA
Source: RNAcentral
UACAGAGGGGGCAAGCGUUGUUCGGAAUUACUGGGCGUAAAGAGCGUGUAGGCGGCUCUGCAAGUCCUGCGUGAAAUCUCGAGGCUCAACCUCGAGCGGUCGUGGGAAACUGGAGGGCUAGAGUGCGGGAGAGGGAAGUGGAAUUCCAGGUGUAGCGGUGAAAUGCGCAGAUAUCUGGAAGAACACCCGUGGCGAAGGCGGCUUCCUGGAACGACACUGACGCUGAGACGCGAAAGCGUGGGGAGCAAACAGG